GACGUCAAGUCUUCUGAAGACCUAUGGGACCGACUUAAAGGUGUCAGACCACCAAUUAAAAAUCCCUAUCUGUUCAACCAAAUUUUGCAAUUUUCACAGCUCUCUAAAUAUUUUACCUUAAGUUUAACUUCAAGGAAACCAGGUAUAUCCUGAAUUGUACAUGUAUCACCUUCCUACAUGCCAAUUUUCAACCAAUGUUUAAAGUCUUGUUACAAAUUU
RNAcentral lists this long non-coding RNA (219 nucleotides) under Mytilus galloprovincialis (Mediterranean mussel). Lineage: Eukaryota; Metazoa; Mollusca; Bivalvia; Mytilida; Mytilidae. The record is from RNAcentral.